This 446-nucleotide ribosomal RNA is filed under the name uncultured bacterium. RNAcentral's name for it is "bacterial SSU rRNA". It matches the Rfam family "Bacterial small subunit ribosomal RNA", at positions 775 to 1210 of the family's 1533-position model. The record is from RNAcentral.
AGAUAAUAGAUACCCAGGUAGUCCACGCCCUAAACGAUGUCUACUAGUUGUUGGUGGAGUAAAAUCCAUGAGUAAACGCAGCUAACGCGUGAAGUAGACCGCCUGGGGAGUACGGUCGCAAGAUUAAAACUCAAAGGAAUUGACGGGGGCCCGGCACAAGCGGUGGAUUAUGUGGAUUAAUUCGAUGCAACGCGAAAACCUUAACCUGGCCUUGACAUGCCACUAACGAAGCAGAGAUGCAUUAGGUGCCCGUAACGGGAAAGUGGACACAGGUGCUGCAUGGCUGUCGUCAGCUCGUGUCGUGAGAUGUUGGGUUUAAAGUUCCCGCAACGAGCGCAACCCUUGCCAUUAAUUGCCAUCAUUUAGUUGGGCACUUUAAUGGGACUGCCGGUGACAAACCGGAGGAAGGUGGGGAUGACGUCAAGUCCUCAUGGCCCUUAUGGCCA